This 2428-nucleotide long non-coding RNA is filed under the name Mus spicilegus (steppe mouse). RNAcentral's name for it is "lncRNA (ENSMSIG00000018519.1)". The record is from RNAcentral. Lineage: Eukaryota; Metazoa; Chordata; Mammalia; Rodentia; Muridae.
GGACCGGAAGUGGCACUGGUUACUUGGUGACACUUGAGAGAGGGGUGGAGGUCCAGCCCCAGCAAGACAAGGCUAUACAGGAGGUGAAGCUGCAGAGCCAGGAACAGGAAGUGACUGUGACAUGGAUCCUGCCAGGUGGGGAAAGAGACACACUGGGGAACAAGGAGGAGGAGGGCCAGGCUCAGAGAAAUGGGAAAGAAGAGGAGGUUGCCUGCUUACGCUGCUGGCUUGUCCCUUCCUGGAUGACAGUUCUCCCAACUGCAGGACUCGUAAGUGGUGUCAGCAUCUGACUCACGGUGCUCCUCAGCUCUAUGGAAAUUUGGCCUCUACCUGCCCUCGUGAUUGGAAAAAGUGGCGUCAACUCAUCAAAGCAGAACCAGGCUACUACUUAGUCCUUGAUCUGUGGGUUACCGGGAAGGCCCAGGGUUACCCAGCCCUUUCUGGUCCCAGCCAGAAACUGGGGGGGUCGGGGGGGGGGGUAGGGUUCUUUAGUUGGUGUCAGGCCUGCCUGGGGCAGAGAAAUGGUGGAGAGAGACUGGGCAAGGGAGGAGGGGUGGCUUUGAAAAGGAAUGUGUGGGGGUGACAUGGUUAAUGUCCCAGGUGAGCCAAGCUGGAAGGGAAGGUCAAAGAGAAGUGACUUGUUUCCUCAGGCUGGCUGCCUCCUUGUGGAUGCUGAGGCCAAGCAUACUGUACCCUCCUUGCUAUCUCUGGGGGGCUGGCACUCGGGGGUGGGGGGUUCCUUGGCAGAGGGUCAGAAGAGGCAGGAAGCUGUACAGUUGAGAGGGAGACCUGUAUCGUUGAGGGGCCUGCUGGGCCAGUUGGUAGAGUCUAUUGGUCAUAGACAGCAGAGUCCACGCAGAGUGUCUCUUUCCAAGGUUAAGUCCAGGUUGUUAGCAUUUUGAGGACCUGGAUUCUCCAGAGAUAUGUUAGGGACAGGGGCCUAUUCCAAAAGUUGCACAUGGAAGGGAUAGAAGGAAGGAGGCUGGACAGAAGCCAGCUGAACUGCGGUCCCGUCCAAAGGCUGGCAGAAAGAGGGAAGGCACCUUGGAGUUCAGCAUCCAAGUCUGAGGCAAAGCUAGGCAUGGGGGUGCACAUCUGUGAUCCCACCACUCAGAGAGCUGAUGCAGGUGGAGUGUGGUGAGUUCAAGACCAAUCUGGGAAUCCGCUAGGCAAGCACUGUACUACUGAGCUGCAUGGCUAGGCCAUUUCUUCUUCCUCUAGCCACGAAGCCACGAAGCCACGAAGCAGAAUCUUAAGGAGACUCCUGAUUCCCUAGUCCAAGCCUGCUUCUCCUGGCUUCCUGUGCAAAGCUUCGGCCUUCUCUAGCCCACGGAAAUGGGAGGAAGGAAGAAAUGGGUAUCACUUCUGGGCAGCAUCUUUGAGAAAGACAUACACUUCUGCUCUCCCUGUCUAGACCUGUCCGUGACGGCAGGAGCAGGCAUCUGAGGCCUCAAGAGAGAAUGCACACAUUGAGGGUAGCAGACUGACAAGACUGGCUGAGCUUGGGUCGCUAUGACUGUGGAACUGCCAAACUGAGUCCUGAGCUGCUUCUCCUGAGACUGUGGCUGAGAAGGGGUGUGCCUCUAUCCUAGUUCAACCUGUUACCAUGACAGCAACCAGAUGCCUGUCUUGUUUUGUUUGUUUGUUUGCUUGCUUGCUUGCUUGCUUUUUUGAGACAGGGUACUGUCAUGAGGCCCAGACAGGUCUCCUCCUGCCUCAGCCUCCGGAGCAUUAGGAUAGGAGGUGUGCAACAUCAUUGGAAUAUCUACCUCACUGAGCAGAGGACACAACUGUAGGGACAGAGAUCUUACCAUGCCAGCCAGCUUUAUGUGGGACUUGGGUUUCAUGAGCAAGAUGACUCUUCUGAGCCUAGACAUCUGGACCUAUCUCCUCUCAAUGGAGGAUCUCAAUGGAGGUCAGGUGAGGUUGCUAGGGCUAAGACUCAACACCUUCCCCCAAGACUUGUUGCUUUCCAGUAUACAAAGGAUCCACACUCACGAACAAACCGGAGGUAACACGGCCCCACUCACCUUGACCUAGUAGAAAUGGCAGGCAAUACAAUCACUCAUGCAAAGUGGGAUUGGUGGUGACUGCCUGGUUGGGUACGGCAGUGGACUCUGUGAUAGAUCAGUCCCCACCCUUCUCUCCCAGUCGGAAAUGUUACUUUGGCAGAGCAUGGAAGUCAAAGUAACAUUUGCUUACUUGCUUAUUCAUUUAGAUUUUUAAAAAUUAUUCAGGGCUGGUGAGAUGGCUCAGUGGGUAAGAGCACCCGACUGCUCUUCCGAAGGUCCAAAGUUCAAAUCCCAGCAACCACAUGGUGGCUCACAACCAUCUGCAACAAGAUCUGACUCCCUCUUCUGGAGUGUCUGAAGACAGCUACAGUGUACUUACAUAUAUUAAUAAAAUAAAUCUUUAAAAAAAUUAUUCA